UACGGAGGAUCCAAGCGUUAUCCGGAUUUAUUGGGUUUAAAGGGUGCGUAGGCGGACUUAUAAGUCAGCGGUGAAAGUUUGCAGCUCAACUGUAAAAUUGCCGUUGAAACUGUUAGUCUUGAGUGUAAAUGAGGUAGGCGGAAUGUGUUGUGUAGCGGUGAAAUGCUUAGAUAUAACACAGAACACCAAUUGCGAAGGCAGCUUACUGGGAUACAACUGACGCUGAGGCACGAAAGCGUGGGGAUCAAACAGG
Molecule: ribosomal RNA, 253 nt
Filed under: uncultured Paludibacter sp.
Lineage: Bacteria; Pseudomonadati; Bacteroidota; Bacteroidia; Bacteroidales; Paludibacteraceae
Description: partial 16S ribosomal RNA
Rfam family: Bacterial small subunit ribosomal RNA
Source: RNAcentral